ACGGCCGUACCAUGCUGAAUAUACCGGUUCUUUAGAUCACCGAAGUCAAGCAUCAUUGGGCGCGGUCAGUACUUGGGUGGGUGACCACCUGGGAACACCGCGUGCCGUU
This is a non-coding RNA of Caerostris darwini, 109 nucleotides long. The record is from the annotation of a GenBank genome assembly. Lineage: Eukaryota; Metazoa; Arthropoda; Arachnida; Araneae; Araneidae.